ACUGCUUUGACAGAAUAGUGUGAUAGAUUUAGAAUCUUUUUAUAUAGUGAUGAACUAUAAGUAGUA
Molecule: transfer RNA, 66 nt
Filed under: Scolytinae sp. BMNH 1040174
Lineage: Eukaryota; Metazoa; Arthropoda; Insecta; Coleoptera; Curculionidae
Description: tRNA-Leu
Source: RNAcentral